CCUACGGGUGGCAGCAGUGAGGAAUAUUGGUCAAUGGGCGCGAGUCUGAACCAGCCAAGUAGCGUGAAGGAUGACUGCCCUAUGGGUUGUAAACUUCUUUUAUAAAGGAAUAAAGUGAUCCACGUGUGGCUUUUUGUAUGUACCAUAUGAAUAAGGAUCGGCUAACUCCGUGCCAGCAGCCGCGGUAAUACGGAGGAUCCGAGCGUUAUCCGGAUUUAUUGGGUUUAAAGGGAGCGUAGAUGGGUUGUUAAGUCAGUUGUGAAAGUUUGCGGCUCAACCGUAAAAUUGCAAUUGAUACUGGCAGUCUUGAGUACAGUUGAGGUAGGCGGAAUUCGUGGUGUAGCGGUGAAAUGCUUAGAUAUCACGAAGAACUCCGAUUGCGAAGGCAGCUUACUAAACUGCCACUGACAUUGAUGCACGAAAGCGUGGGUAUCAAACAGGAUUAGAUACCCUUGUAGUC
Molecule: ribosomal RNA, 460 nt
Filed under: uncultured bacterium
Lineage: Bacteria
Description: partial 16S ribosomal RNA
Rfam family: Bacterial small subunit ribosomal RNA
Source: RNAcentral